UUUACUGCUGCUCCGUGCUGCUGUGUGUAGAAGAAAGGAUUGAUUUUGCUGCUGUGCGAUUUGUGCUGCGUGCUUGAUUUUGCCUGUGAGAGGAGGAAAUUGAUUUUGCUUGCUACUUGCCCGUGAGAGUAGGAGCAGGAGAAAGAGAGCAGAUUAUUUCCAAUACAAUUGCAAUUGCCAUCAACCGGCUUAUGCAUGAGCCAAAAAUUGUGGCUUCUCAUGUCCCCUCCUCCGCAGCUUUUUGGCAAAA
This 250-nucleotide long non-coding RNA is filed under the name Setaria italica (foxtail millet). Its description in RNAcentral is "long non-coding RNA (SITA_LNC003102)". The record is from RNAcentral. Lineage: Eukaryota; Viridiplantae; Streptophyta; Magnoliopsida; Poales; Poaceae.